RNAcentral lists this ribosomal RNA (664 nucleotides) under Serratia rubidaea. Its description in RNAcentral is "bacterial SSU rRNA". It matches the Rfam family "Bacterial small subunit ribosomal RNA", at positions 56 to 710 of the family's 1533-position model. The record is from RNAcentral. Lineage: Bacteria; Pseudomonadati; Pseudomonadota; Gammaproteobacteria; Enterobacterales; Yersiniaceae.
UGCAGUCGAGCGGCAGCGGGAGGAAGCUUGCUUCCUCGCCGGCGAGCGGCGGACGGGUGAGUAAUGUCUGGGGAUCUGCCCGAUGGAGGGGGAUAACCACUGGAAACGGUGGCUAAUACCGCAUAACGUCGCAAGACCAAAGUGGGGGACCUUCGGGCCUCACACCAUCGGAUGAACCCAGAUGGGAUUAGCUAGUAGGUGGGGUAAUGGCUCACCUAGGCGACGAUCCCUAGCUGGUCUGAGAGGAUGACCAGCCACACUGGAACUGAGACACGGUCCAGACUCCUACGGGAGGCAGCAGUGGGGAAUAUUGCACAAUGGGCGCAAGCCUGAUGCAGCCAUGCCGCGUGUGUGAAGAAGGCCUUCGGGUUGUAAAGCANUUUCAGCGAGGAGGAAGGUGGUGANCUUAAUACGUUCAUCAAUUGACGUUACUCGCAGAAGAAGCACCGGCUAACUCCGUGCCAGCAGCCGCGGUAAUACGGAGGGUGCAAGCGUUAAUCGNAAUUACUGGGCGUAAAGCGCACGCAGGCGGUUUGUUAAGUCAGAUGUGAAAUCCCCGAGCUUAACUUGGGAACUGCAUUUGAAACUGGCAAGCUAGAGUCUCGUAGAGGGGGGUAGAAUUCCAGGUGUAGCGGUGAAAUGCGUAGAGAUCUGGAGGAAUACC